UACGUAGGGUGCAAGCGUUAAUCGGAAUUACUGGGCGUAAAGCGUGCGCAGGCGGUUCGGAAAGAAAGGUGUGAAAUCCCAGGGCUUAACCUUGGAACUGCACUUUUAACUACCGGGCUAGAGUACGUCAGAGGGGGGUAGAAUUCCACGUGUAGCAGUGAAAUGCGUAGAGAUGUGGAGGAAUACCGAUGGCGAAGGCAGCCCCCUGGGAUGAUACUGACGCUCAUGCACGAAAGCGUGGGGAGCAAACAGG
This 253-nucleotide ribosomal RNA is filed under the name uncultured bacterium. RNAcentral's name for it is "partial 16S ribosomal RNA". It matches the Rfam family "Bacterial small subunit ribosomal RNA", at positions 524 to 776 of the family's 1533-position model. The record is from RNAcentral.